RNAcentral lists this ribosomal RNA (351 nucleotides) under Triticum aestivum (bread wheat). RNAcentral's name for it is "partial small subunit ribosomal RNA". The record is from RNAcentral. Lineage: Eukaryota; Viridiplantae; Streptophyta; Magnoliopsida; Poales; Poaceae.
AUGAGGACUUUGGAUCAUCAGUAUGAGGUCGUUAGCAAGAUCCUUUCUCAAAGUGGUUUCGGCUCGGAUUGGACCAAUAAUAGGCUAUCAAUGGAUAGUGAUGAUGUUUGGGCUAAAUAUAUGGAGGCUAACAAGGCAUGCAAGGAGAUAAAGUCUUACAAGACCAAAGUAAUCAAGAACUGGGAGCCCAUAUGUAUCGUAUAUUCAAAAGAUCAUGCUAAUGGCGAGGGUGCGAAGACAGGUGCUGAGAUUGCUGCAGAGCCAUUAGAAGAACCGGCUGAAGUCUCUCCAGAAGUAGCGCCAAAGAGGCAGCAAACAGGUGAUGCUAUUCUUUGCAUGCUUGGGAUAUGA